GAAUUUUGGACAAUGGGGGCAACCCUGAUCCAGCCAUGCCGCGUGAGUGAUGAAGGCCUUCGGGUUGUAAAGCUCUUUUGGCGGGGACGAUGAUGACGGUACCUGAGGAAUAAGCUACGGCUAACUACGUGCCAGCAGCCGCGGUAAUACGUAGGUGGCGAGCGUUGUCCGGAUUUACUGGGCGUAAAGGGCGCGCAGGCGGUCGUUCAAGUCGCGUGUGAAAGCCCCCGGCUCAACUGGGGAGGGUCACGCGAUACUGAUCGACUCGAAGGCAGGAGAGGGUAGUGGAAUUCCCGGUGUAGUGGUGAAAUGCGUAGAUAUCGGGAGGAACACCAGUGGCGAAGGCGACUACCUGGCCUGUUCUUGACGCUGAGGCGCGAAAGCUAGGGGAGCAAAC
Molecule: ribosomal RNA, 397 nt
Filed under: uncultured bacterium
Lineage: Bacteria
Description: bacterial SSU rRNA
Rfam family: Bacterial small subunit ribosomal RNA
Source: RNAcentral